GCCGGCCUGGCUCUCUGUCGCCGGACUGGUACACGGCGCCGCCGCCGGCGAGCGCCUCUGUCGUCAGCCCCUCUCCGUCCUCCCCCUGUCACCUCUCUCUCCCUUCCCUUUUCCCUCUCUACAUCUCUCUCUCUCCGCCUCUCGUUCGGAACAGGGCGUACGCCCUUUGUGCCGGAGACAGAGAACGGCCGCCGCCGCCUCCUUCAUCCUCCAGCGCCGCCGGGCUCGCGGUGGAGAGUCGCCACCGCCGAUGCCUCCGUCGUCGGCCAGCUCGAUUCACCAUCAUAACCCACAAACAAUAUGCAAAAUCGACAAACAAAAAUCCACAAAUCCAAAUCCACAAACAAAAAUCAAAAUCCACAAGUUCACAAGUAUCGAAACCAAAAUCGAAACAAAUAUCAAAACCAGAUCUACCCACAAACAUUGAAACCCAAGUAUUGAAGACAAAAAUUGAAAAUCUAGAAACUAGAGUGGAGGCGGAAAGGGGCUACGCCGAGGGUGAGGCGGACGCGCCGCUGCUGCGUCUCCUGGCGGUGGGGCUGAAGAUUUCGUCGACGACGGAGAGAGAAAGGUGGAGGCGACGAGAGAAGACUUAGGAUUUGGGUUCACUGGUUGAGUGGGUGCGUGAGAAACUGAGAAUAGAGGAAGAGAGGAAAUGACAGUGGUGGCCGGCAGAUCGACGGGCGGUGGUGGCGGUGGAGGCGGCAGAUCGACGGGCGGUGGUGGCCGAGAAUUUUAGAAGAGAAGGGAGGCGACUGGUAGGUGGGGGAAGGAGAGAGAGAAGAAGAAGUAGGAAAUGAGUUUUAGGUGGAUAAUUAGUGAUUAGGUGGAUAAUUAGUGAAUAUAUUAAUGCUUAAAUGCCCCCUGAUUUUUCCAAAAAAGGAAAUGUAUCAUGUAGGUUGGGACAGCCCAAAAAUGAAUANGCUAGAGUCGUGAAAUGAAAUUAUCCAAGUAAUACGUUUGUUACAAACGUAUUACUUGGAUUUUUCAUUUCACUAGAUUUUAUAUCUGGUUACUCAACAUUUCCAGCGUCGAAGCGGUGGCGCUAGCAGGUGGCGGUUUCAGGUGGUGGUUUUGGGGGAGGUGAGUGGCUUUCCUUUUUUUCAAUUAAUUCUUUAAUCUUAUUUCUAUUUUUUUGGUUAGUUUUGUUGAUAAAAAUUAUACCUAAAUGCCAAUGACAGUUUGUUAAUGAAUCUGUUUAAGAAAUACAAUUAGGAAAUAGUUUAAUUGCUCUUUCUUAAUGAUUGUUGUAAUAUGAAUCAUAUGAUGAUGUGUGUAUUAAUAAAGUAACAAGCUUAAGUAGUAUGAAUAUGUGAUGGUAGUAUGUAUAUAUCUAUAAGCGAUUUGCUUUUGCAGGAAUAGCAAGUAAAUUAUACUUAAAAUAGUUUCGUAUAUUAUAAACUAAAAUUUAUCAAGAAUGGCUAAAGAUUUUAUUUCUCCAUAUGUUGAAUGAGAUAGCUCACUAUUAAUAAAAUCUCUUUUUUUAUUCUACAAAAAAAUAGGUAUCAUAAAUAUUUCUGUAGCAAUAAAAUAAAUUUUAGUCAAUACUAGUAUUGUACUCCCUCCGUCCCAUUAUUUAUGGGACAACACUGUUGGGCACGGAGAUUAAGAAGAAUAGAAUUAAGGGAAUUAAAUGUUUAGUGUUAUUUUAAUUAACAAGUCACACACGCACAGUCACUCCUCUCUCGGCCUGUCUCUCUCUCGCCGGCCUGGCUCUCUGUCGCCGGACUGGUACACGGCGCCGCCGCCGGCGAGCGCCUCUGUCGUCAGCCCCUCUCCGUCCUCCCCCUGUCACCUCUCUCUCCCUUCCCUCUUCCCUCUCUCCAUCUCUCUCUCCGCCUCUCGUUCGGAACAGGGCGUACGCCCUUUGUGCCGGAGACAGAGAACGGCCGCCGCCGCCUCUUUCAUCCUCCAGCGCCGCCGGGCUCGCGAUGGAGAGUUGCCACCGCCGAUGUCGGCCAGCUCGAUUCACCAGCAUAACCCACAAACAAUAUGCAAAAUCGACAAACAAAAAUCCACAAAUCCAAA
RNAcentral lists this long non-coding RNA (2028 nucleotides) under Salvia miltiorrhiza (redroot sage). RNAcentral's name for it is "long non-coding RNA (SMIL_LNC000539)". Lineage: Eukaryota; Viridiplantae; Streptophyta; Magnoliopsida; Lamiales; Lamiaceae. The record is from RNAcentral.